Molecule: long non-coding RNA, 1188 nt
Organism: Carassius auratus (goldfish)
Lineage: Eukaryota; Metazoa; Chordata; Actinopteri; Cypriniformes; Cyprinidae
Exons: 4
Source: RefSeq, a predicted model, not a curated record
UGACCACUAGAUGGCGUCCUAUCACCACUGCAGAACCCGGAUUUGGAGCCUUUACCAACAAGCGUUGGAGGUAUUUUUGCUUUCUAUCAAUAGGCCAGAGCCUAAGGCCUGAUUAUACAACUUACAACAGUUCAUUCUUUCCAAAAAACAAAACCUGUGGCUAUCUAGGGCAAUUAUACAUCACCUCAAAUCCUUCAAUUGCGAUUUGGCAACUCUUCUCUCAUCGCCAUUGGUUGGAGUGACAGCACUUCUAUGAGCUCACCUGACUGUAGUGGGUGUGGCCUGCGAUGAUGCCACAGCACCUAAACUCCACCUCCAACAGCAACACAACCAAUCAUCUGUCAACACUCCAAAUAUGGAAAGGUCCUAACCCUUUAAAGAGCAGCUUAAUGAAGCAGCAAAGCGGCUCACAAUCGGAGACUCCAGCCCAAACAGCUCCAAGACUAACAGCCCAGGAGGGCUCUGGUUAAAUGAAGUGUCUUGCAUGGGAACCGAGUCAGUGGGGAGGGCUAUCACUACAGUAUUCUUUACGCCUGUCAGUCAUCAAAGCUGUCAGAGUGCAGUGGAGCAGACGAUGGCUUCACGCUGCAUUUGAGGGGUGUGUCGAGAGUAGCCCAUGUUGAAUAGAUCUGAGUGUCAGGGCUCAUAUCCAUUCAUAAAGCAGAUUAGAAAUGAAGAAAGAGUACUUAUAAACCAUACAAUGGGGGGAAACCUGCUUUACAACUGCGCUUAUGUUGGGAUGUUUCAGACAGAUGCAGAAUGGCUGUGCCUAGAAAAACUGGCUUUGUUCAAACUAUUUAUUCCCUGUAUUUAAAGCAUUUUAACUAUAGGCUAGUAGAGCAGCUGGAUGUUCAAAUUUUAGCCUUACAGAAUGGAACUGCUUUUUUAAACCUUUUUUUAUAAUCUUGACACAUGCUACACAGUGAUUGUAAUGACACAAGGUUAUAAACGAGGCAGUCAGAUUAAUUAUACACACAAAGGUUAUUGAGAAAAGUAUAAAAAGUGAAUCAUGAUCUCUGCAAACAUGUCUCAUGAAUAUUAACCAAAGUAUAUUAGUUAAUAUUCAGUGUUAGUUAAAGGGGUAGUGUACCCUAAAAUGGCAAUCUAGUCAUGAUUCGCUAUUAUGUCAUUUUGAGGCUGUAUGACUUACUUUCUUCUCUGAAAUAUCAGGUUGGAGAGCAUAGUGGA